ACGGGAGGCAGCAGUCGGGAAUAUUGCGCAAUGGAGGAAACUCUGACGCAGUGACGCCGCGUAUAGGAAGAAGGUUUUCGGAUUGUAAACUAUUGUCGUUAGGGAAGAUAAAUGACAGUACCUAAGGAGGAAGCUCCGGCUAACUACGUGCCAGCAGCCGCGGUAAUACGUAGGGAGCGAGCGUUAUCCGGAUUUAUUGGGUGUAAAGGGUGCGUAGAUGGGUUAUUAAGUUAGUUGUGAAACCCCUCGGCUCAACUGAGGAACUGCAACUAAAACUGGUAAUCUUGAGUGUUGGAGAGGAAAGCGGAAUUCCUAGUGUAGCGGUGAAAUGCGUAGAUAUUAGGAGGAACACCAGUGGCGAAGGCGGCUUUCUGGACAAUAACUGACGUUGAGGCACGAAAGUGUGGGGAGCAAACAGGAUUAGAUACCCUGGUA
This 435-nucleotide ribosomal RNA is filed under the name uncultured Oscillospiraceae bacterium. Its description in RNAcentral is "bacterial SSU rRNA". It matches the Rfam family "Bacterial small subunit ribosomal RNA", at positions 341 to 792 of the family's 1533-position model. Lineage: Bacteria; Bacillati; Bacillota; Clostridia; Eubacteriales; Oscillospiraceae. The record is from RNAcentral.